RNAcentral lists this ribosomal RNA (253 nucleotides) under uncultured bacterium. RNAcentral describes it as "partial 16S ribosomal RNA". It matches the Rfam family "Bacterial small subunit ribosomal RNA", at positions 524 to 776 of the family's 1533-position model. The record is from RNAcentral.
UACAGAGGGUGCAAACGUUGCUCGGAAUUACUGGGCGUAAAGCGCGUGUAGGUGGAUUGGUGUGUCAGAUGUGAAAGCCCUGGGCUCAACCCAGGAACUGCACCUGAAACUACCAGUCUUGAGUGGUGGAGAGGGAAGUGGAAUUCCUGGUGUAGAGGUGAAAUUCGUAGAUAUCAGGAGGAACACCAGGGGCGAAGGCGGCUUCCUGGACACUAACUGACGCUGAGACGCGAAAGCGUGGGGAGCAAACAGG